Long non-coding RNA from Oreochromis aureus, 906 nucleotides. The record is from Ensembl. Lineage: Eukaryota; Metazoa; Chordata; Actinopteri; Cichliformes; Cichlidae.
AACAAAGAGUCCUCUUCUUGUGCAAAUUUGCAGUCAUAUUUCCCUACUGCAUACUUUGUGGUUUUCUCUUAACUUCUUUCCAUUUUGACAUGGUGGGGGAAGCAGGUGCAAUUCAAGCUGUCAGGUUUGAAAUACACAGAGAGGAAAUAGCUGUCUUGUCCCUAUCUGACACCACAGUGCACAUGUAUGUGUGUGCAGACCUCAGGCUUUAAGCUUAUCUUGGAGCUAACGAAUGGAAACACCCUCUGCAAAGAGGCCUUUCAUUUUAGCUUUUAUCUAAUUUUCUGUGUAAAUGUAGCCUACGGGUAUGUAUUGCUGUGUUUAUCAUAUAAAGUCUCCUCCCAUAUUUCUCUCAACACACACCCCACUGGAGAGACAAAUUUGACAAACUUGAACAAAGAACAAAAUAUUGCAUGUUAACAUCAGACGGAGACUGACAUUUCCUUCUUUGUGAAGCAGAAAAGAAAGUUUGUUAGCUUCACAUCCACGAUAAGAAUCUCCUCUUCCACUGAAUCCAAAAGGUGCUCUGUUGGAUUGAGAUCUGCUGACAGGAGCAGUAAGCGAUGUGGUCUUCUGCUGCUGUAGUCCAUUUUGUGCAUUCAGAGAUGGUCUUCUGCAUACCUUCAUUGCUGCAAGUCUGAAGACUCCCUGCAGUGAAACAGCACCCUAACCUGGAGAUUCAUCUCCCUGAGUUUUUCCAAGAUUUACACUUAUUAAUUUUUAAUGGUCUGGACUUUGUAAGAAAAAAAUGUGCAAAUGUGUUCUUGAAUAUGAUUGAAUUUGUGUAUAUGUGGAUGUUUUAAUCCAUAGUUACAGUCAUUGACAUUGUUCUUUUAAAGUGAGCCAACUAUUUUUCUCCUCUUGGCGUCAGUGGGAUGAAUGUACACGUAUGCUUUUAUCUCUGAG